CCUACGGGUGGCAGCAGUGAGGAAUAUUGGUCAAUGGGCGCGAGCCUGAACCAGCCAAGUCGCGUGAGGGAAGACGGUCCUAUGGAUUGUAAACCUCUUUUGUCGGGGAGCAAAAGACGCCACGUGUGGCGUUCCGAGAGUACCCGAAGAAAAAGCAUCGGCUACCUCCGUCCCCGCAGCCGCGGUAAUACGGAGGAUGCGAGCGUUAUCCGGAUUUAUUGGGUUUAAAGGGUGCGCAGGCGGAAGAUCAAGUCAGCGGUAAAAUUGAGAGGCUCAACCUCUUCGAGCCGUUGAAACUGGUUUUCUUGAGUGAGCGAGAAGUAUGCGGAAUGCGUGGUGUAGCGGGGAAAUGCAUAGAUAUCACGCAGAACUCCGAUUGCGAAGGCAGUAUACCGGCGCUCAACUGACGCUCAUGCACGAAAGUGUGGGUAUCGAACAGGAUUAGAUACCCCAGUAGUC
This 459-nucleotide ribosomal RNA is filed under the name uncultured bacterium. RNAcentral's name for it is "partial 16S ribosomal RNA". It matches the Rfam family "Bacterial small subunit ribosomal RNA", at positions 338 to 795 of the family's 1533-position model. The record is from RNAcentral.